CCAGCCUGCACAACCCGCUUCCCCCCGUUUCGCAGGCCCAGGAGCGGUUCCACAAUUUUUUUUCUCCUGUCCAAAAGUAUUUUGAGAUUUUGAGAUGGUGGAUAUCGUCGAAUAGUCGUGGAAAUUUGCGUGAGAAGUGUUUUUUCCAUCGCGUGCGUGAAAUUCGCUUCCGGAGCGUUUGUGAAGUCGCGUAGAAUCUCGUUCGGGCAGACGUUUCGUUUCAGGCUGGCUGGCGAAGAAAGCCACGGCUCCCCCCUGAGCGCCCUGAGUGCAUUCGAUAAUUAAUUGUUGGGGCCCCGCAACACUCCGGCGACAACGACGACCCUUGCGCUCUGCAGCGCCGAGAACGCACAGAACCUGAAUAUCUUCAUGCAACGAUCGUGAAAGCAGAACGCGUGAACGCUGCUGCCAGUCUCAUUCGCCGCUUGAGGAACGGAAAAUAUGUGGCGGUUCGCGGCCGCAGUCGUCUGAGGAAAAUCGGGAAAAGUGAGCAGCCAACGAGCGGUGAAAAUCGUGAGUGCAGUGAAAAGUUGCCCGUCGCCGUCGUCGCCAUCGCAUUGCCAGUCACAGUGAGCACGGGAGCAUGUGAAAAUCCGUCCGCCUGCCAGGCCAUUUCCCGGGGAAAAUGUUGUGUAACUGCGAGUUUUCACGGCGCUGAGUUCUCGCUUCGCUCUGCCUUUCUGUCUGUGCACUUUGCUCGCUCUGGGUGCCGUUGCAUCGCGCGAUCGAGUCCGACAUCGACUUGUGAACGAGUUGGAGUGAAAAUUUUCCAGGCGGCGACCGGACGUGUGACUCUGCUCCGGAUCGAAAAGAGUGCGUCCUUCGAUCGGCGGAAAACUCGUUUUCCCGACAGCCAGUGAACCGGCGAAGAGUCGCGCGGAAGCCGCACGACAGUAUUGUGCCGCGGAAAAUUCGCAGAGAGCGGGACGAGUGAAAAUCAUUGCGAAUCGCAUGUGAAAAUUCCGACAGGACUUCGUGCGUGUUCCCACUCGAUUGUGUCCCCGUAGGGCCUUGCGGAUUGUUGCGCGGUUUGUGUGUGGUGAAGUGACAAAAGUCAGAGUUCCUGUGAUCCUUUAGCCCCGCGACAAGGACAGACGAACGAAAAUGAAUUUCGACACGCGGAACAACUCGGCGCUGAUGAAGCGCGCGGAGCAGCUUCGGCGCUGGGAGGAAUCUGACACGAAUCGUGAGCCAACCGUACCGAAAAAUGAGCGGGGCCGGAAAAUCAAAUUCUCGCUGGGAUGCGUGUUCCUAGCGGCCUGCAUCGCCGGCGACAAGGAUGAAGUCGUGCGGCUGCUGGAGAGCGGCGCCGACAUAAACACGGCCAACGUCGAUGGACUGACUGCAUUGCAUCAAGCCUGCAUUGAUGAUAAUUUAGAAAUGGUGGAGUUUUUAGUUAGUCAUGGAGCAGAUAUCAAUCGACAGGAUAACGAAGGCUGGACGCCUUUACACGCCACAGCCUCUUGUGGGUUUGUUAGUAUAGCACGAUACUUAAUUGAAAACGGAGCAGAUCUAACAGCAAUAAAUAGUGACGGUGAAUUAGCAAUAGAUUUAGCAUCAACAAAUUCUAUGGCAGAUCACCUACAGACAAUAUACGAUGAAAAUGGUAUAGAUUGCGAUCAUGCACGCCAAAGCGAGGAACAAAUAAUGUUAAGUGAUGCCAAGAAAUGGCUAAGAAGUGAUGCUUCCGAGGCGGAUAAGCCACAUCCUAAGACUGGAGCAACAGCACUUCAUGUUGCUGCUGCCAAAGGCUACACAAAAGUAUUAAGUCUUUUACUAGCUGGACGAGCCAAUGUUGAUAAGCAGGACAAUGAUGGUUGGACGCCAAUGCAUGCGGCCGCGCAUUGGGGUCAAAAAGAAGCAAUUCAAAUGCUUGUCGAUGCAAUGGCUGAUAUUGAUAUUAAAAAUUAUGCCGGACAAACACCAAUUGAUGUAGCGGAACCAUCAAUUGUUAAAUUCUUAGAGGAGAUUAAGGCGACUAACAAGAGAAUUAAACGAAGGCCUACUAGUCAAAUACGAAUUUCGGAUACAAUUGAAAAUCACAUCGAAGCGCCUGCGAAGAUGAUUCGGGUUGAAGUCAAGUCUGAUUCGAAGGAUACAGUCAAUGACGAUAAUACGGAUGGGUUAGCAAGAAUUGUUGAGAAUGAAGAAAGUGAUUCAGAUAUCACCGAUUCCACAGAAAGUUCACAUUCAACAAGUAUUUCCGACAAUUUAGAAGAUAAAUCUAAAACUACAUCAGAAUCUGUUGCGCCGACACCCGCGGAUAACAAUACAGGUGUUGAAGAGGAUGCACCAUGGAGACGCAGUAGUUCGCUUAGAAGUCGAACACAAAUUGAAAAUCCUACUAAAACUCAAGUUCCUGAAAAAGACGCAAAAUCAACUGACUCAGAAGUGAUAUUAAGACGUACACAAAGUUUCGAAAACGACGAAAAAUUCUAUCAAAAAUACCAUGAACUCCGUGCAAGAAUAAAAGCAAAUUCGUGUCCAAUACUACCAGCUACUCAGCAAACAGGUGUUUUAGGUGCCGUUAAUCCACCAAACAAUUAUUCAGUACAAAGGUCUGCAUCUUUAAAAGAUCAUAAAAAUCUCAGGAAAACAACAGUAUCUUUACCAGUUAGUCCGAGUACGCCAAAUACUACUCCACCUAAUACUGGCCAAGUUAGAAGUCUUGAUAACGAGGUUGAAAAUGAAAACGGUAAAGCGGAAACAGCUUCCAAUGGAAAAUCGAAAAGUAACGAUUCAGGAUCGUUCCGUAGUAAAAUGUCUCCCGGAGCUCUUUUCAAAAAUUUCUUCAAGUCGUUUGUGCCACCAGUUCGUGAUGAAGAAAGUGAGACACAACGUAAGGCUCACGCGAAGAGAGUCCGUGAAACUCGUCGCUCAACACAAGGUGUCACAUUGGAUGAGAUCAAAAGUGCUGAGGAACUUGUUAAGAAGAAAAAUCUUAAUAAUAACAACAAUAACCCGAAUAAUGAAGUUCCAAAUACCAUCACCACCGAAACACCAUCCAUCACGCAUACAACCACAACAACACCUACUGUUAAUGUAACGUUAAACGAUCGAGUUCCUUCGACAACAUCGGCUUCGUUUGAUGAUAAUUCGGUGCUAGUAGGAUUCAAACCAAUUGAUCCCGCUCCAAGCGGUGCCACAUCGAAUAGUGCUGAAGAAGAAAUAUCCGCAACAUUUACAAUGACCGUGCCCACGUCUAGUUCGACGAAAGAUAGGGAAAGGAUAACAGAUUCGGCCGCUUCGGAGGAACUGACUAGUGAUAGCAAUGUGUCGUAUACUUUGCCACCAUCUCAACAUCCCGCAACCUCGACGAUAGGCUCGGAUCCGUCCAAUUCAGCAGAUUUAGAUUUUACGAAUGAUGACAAAAGUAGAUCAGAUGAUGGUGGAGAUAAUGAUAGGGAUGAUGUUUUCACUGACGUUUCGGCCACCCUCAAUGUGCCUCUUUCAAGUAAUUGCGCUUACAAAAAGACUGAUACAGAUGCAAACGCCGAAGAUGUAAUCCGAACAGCAUCACCCACAAUUUUAACAGUCGAUAGUCGAUCAGCAUCAGAAUCAGAACGAGCCAAGCCACAUUUAUCUAGUCCAUUAGAAGAAGAAGUUACGCUUAGGACACCUAGGGAUGCUAAGGACAAGCGUUCGCUAUUCGAUAUCGACAAUGCCAACUCCUUAACGUUAGCUGAAAAGCUUAGGAACGAGGCGAACAAGUAUAAUGAGAGUGUUAGCCAGUCGAAUACUGACAUCAUGAGCGUGGGGUUAACAACGAGGCCGACUGUUACGGGAACUGAUGAAAUUGCAGACGAAAGAUCUGGAAGGAGACCUGAGUCGAUGCCUUCGUCUCCGUUACAUAUGAACGCUGCGGAACGAAGGCCUUCGUGGCGGUUGAAAUUCGACAGCGGGAACAAGUUCAAGCUGGAAGAUGCAUCUACUGGUUCGCCUAUUGCUUCAAAUAAUAGUACAAUAAUAACUAGUGCACCAGCUGUCAUUGCUGCUGCUAAUUUGUCUUCGUCAGUAACGCAACGAAGAACUAAUAACAACACAGCUACCCCCAAUAUACAACCCCAAAGGCCAGUAUCAGCGCCAGUUAUAUCGACGACUUCUGGCAAUGAUCAAUCAAAUGAUAGAACAAAAGAAACGCCAAAUGAAGUCACAUUGUCGUUGAGGCGGAACAGGAAUACAGAGGACAAAGAAAAUGAUAAAGAGAAUGAUAGCCGAAGUGCACAAGCUACACAAGCUGUUAUACAGAGACGAAGGCGACCAAAGAGGAGGUCAACUGGAGUCGUACAUUUGGAUAUGGACGACAAUGAUCCCGAUAGACAAGAUUCACCCGCCGAGAAUGACGAAAAAGAGAGUGGAAGUGAACGAUUAUCACGCUCUCGUGUAGGAUCAAGUGGUUCAUUGUCUGGUGAACAAAAUGACAGUAAGUCAAAUACAGAUGCAACAGAAAAUGGUGAAGUAAUUGACUAUAAAGCAUUAUGGGAAGCUGUAAAGUUAGAAAACGAACAGUUAAAGCAAGAACUGAAGAAAAAGGAUGAAGAACUAUCAACGGCAAAAGCUGCCGUUGAUAGGUUUGCAAACGCAACAACUAAAAAUUCUUUAUCAGAAUUGGAAAAACGUGAACGACGAGCAAUGGAACGUAAACUUUCCGAAAUGGAAGAAGAACUUAAGCUACUACAAAAAUAUAAGACUGAGAAUGAACGCCUGCGAGCCGAAAAUCGAGCUUUAACUCGUGUCGUAUCUAAACUUACAAAUUCGGCUCAAAAUCAGCAGCAGAACAAAAAAUAAAUCGAAUCAUUGGAUUUGCGAGCGUGAAAUAUAUCUGAACGUUUAGGAUAUUCGACAAAGUGUAUCAAAAUCAACUUUAAAUCAAAAUAUUUAAAACAUUCAUAGAAGAAAACAAAAUAUGCAUUAUUAAGACUCAUCACACUAUCCGUAUCUCCUAUCUUGCUGUAUCUAAAUUCCAUCAUAUAUUCAUCGUUGUUUCAUUGACUAUUGAUUAUGCAUAUAUGCUUAAUUAGACAUUUGCGAAUAUCUUUGUAUUAUAAGAAAUGGUAUAAAGCAUGGAAAGUGCAUUGAGUAUGCACGCGAAAUCGUCGAAAGAAGGAAAGUUACAUAAAGGACAUCGUAAAGUUUGGGAGAAUAGUUUAAUAGCGAGGAACGUUGAUGCGAUUUGCUCGCAUCUGGACGUGUUGAAAGCAGAAAAUCAACGUCUCAAGGAAGAAAAUGGAGCGUUAAUUCGUGUGAUUAGCAAAUUAAGCAAAUAAUCAAAGUUAUAAUCGGAAUGUGUGUGUAUAAUCGAUCUAGAUGCAGGUAUCCACCAGAUUUAACCCUUUUGAUAUAUCCUUUAUAUACUAUUUAUACGAAGAUUAAAAGAGAUAUUAUCGGUCUAGAACGGAAACCAACAUAAAUUUAUCUAUCGAAAAUGUUUGUUUUGUGUAACUGUAAAUUUUCAGGAGCAUAAAAAAUUGUAAUGCUUUAUUUAGAUUUGAACUGUUGACAUAAUGUAAUACUAUUUUGCCGUAUACUCAAAACUACGAAUAAAAAAUACAAUAGACGCUUAGGAAUUCGAUCGUUUUGAUUUUAAAUAAUUCAAAUGCAUAAUAUCAUAUGACGCUCUAUUUUGUUGUAAAUAUCUGAACGUUUCAAUAUUGUAAUGUUAACUGAACUAUAGUUGAUAAUUGUACCAUAAGGAACUCCAAGCAAAACACAAAAAAUAAGCUUCAUGGCAAACGAAUCCUCUGAUCAUCAUUGUUCGCUUUUGAUUUCAUCCUUUUUGGUCAAUUACUUCCAACGAAUGUAUUGCAGAAGUAAAUGUACGAAGUGAGAGACUAAGUUAAUCACACUUACAAUUCUUAUUAUCUUUUUACGCUAUUUAUUUUCAACGUGUACGUAAUAUAACGUCAUAGAACAAGAAGCAAAGAAUAUGCUAAUCAUCUGCUCUGCUCUGAAAGUAUUUUUUUUUCUUGAAGUAUGCAAAACUUACAGCACUUUUGAAUAUUUUUAAUGUUAUAAAUUAUUAUUAUGAUUACUAUGUCGUUCCCUUACUAUUAUUAUUUUUGACAAUUUUUUUUGCAUAUUUGAUUUUUUAAAUUUUCUAUUCUUUCAUGUCAUUGAUCGAAAUUUUCAUAACUAUGUGUAAAACAUUUUUGAUUUUGUUAAAGAAUAUAAAAUCACACUUUUAGUCGUUUUAGUUGUUUAUUGUAUUUGUAUUUGAUAAAUGAUUUUAACUUGUAAAGAAAUGUGUUUCGAAAUAAUUCUUAACUUUUAUUUUAAUUUGUUAUUAGUAAUUCUUUUAAAAGUUAGAAUGCUGUCUAAUCGUAAAUAAAAUGUAAAAUGAAAAAUAAUAAAAAGAAUUACAAAUGAA
Molecule: RNA transcript, 6367 nt
Organism: Hermetia illucens (black soldier fly)
Lineage: Eukaryota; Metazoa; Arthropoda; Insecta; Diptera; Stratiomyidae
Gene: Mbs
Gene name: protein phosphatase 1 regulatory subunit 12B
Exons: 22
Source: RefSeq, a predicted model, not a curated record